AUUGAACGCUGGCGGCAGGCCUAACACAUGCAAGUCGAGCGGAUGAAGUUAGCUUGCUCCUGGAUUCAGCGGCGGACGGGUGAGUAAUGCCUAGGAAUCUGCCUGGUAGUUGGGGAUAACGUCCGGAAACGGGCGCUAAUACCUCAUACGUCCUGAGGGAGAAAGUGGGGGAUCUUCGGACCUCACUCUAUCAGAUGAGCCUAGGUCGGAUUAGCUAGUUGGUGGGGUAAAGGCCUACCAAGGCGACGAUCCGUAACUGGUCUGAGAGGAUGAUCAGUCACACUGGAACUGAGACACGGUCCAGACUCCUACGGGAGGCAGCAGUAGGGAAUAUUGGACAAAGGGCGAAAGCCUGAUCCAGCCAUGCCGCGUGUGUGAAGAAGGUCUUCGGAUUGUAAAGCACUUUAAGUUGGGAGGAAGGGGAGUAAGUUAAUACCUUGAUGUUUUGACGUUACCAACAGAAUAAGCACCGGCUAACUUCGUG
RNAcentral lists this ribosomal RNA (484 nucleotides) under uncultured bacterium. RNAcentral describes it as "partial 16S ribosomal RNA". It matches the Rfam family "Bacterial small subunit ribosomal RNA", at positions 30 to 507 of the family's 1533-position model. The record is from RNAcentral.